GGGGAAUAUUGGACAAUGGGCGCAAGCCUGAUCCAGCCAUACCGCGUGGGUGAAGAAGGCCUUCGGGUUGUAAAGCCCUUUUGUUGGGAAAGAAAUCCAGCCGGCUAAUACCUGGUUGGGAUGACGGUACCCAAAGAAUAAGCACCGGCUAACUUCGUGCCAGCAGCCGCGGUAAUACGAAGGGUGCAAGCGUUACUCGGAAUUACUGGGCGUAAAGCGUGCGUAGGUGGUCGUUUAAGUCCGUUGUGAAAGCCCUGGGCUCAACCUGGGAACUGCGCUUGUGACUGCCAGGCUAGAGUACGGCAGAGGGGGGUGGAAUUCCACGUGUAGCAGUGAAAUGCGUAGAGAUGUGGAGGAACACCGAUGGCGAAGGCAGCCCCCUGGGCCUGUGCUGACGCUCAUGCACGAAAGCGUGGGGAGCAAACA
RNAcentral lists this ribosomal RNA (426 nucleotides) under uncultured Pseudomonadota bacterium. Its description in RNAcentral is "bacterial SSU rRNA". It matches the Rfam family "Bacterial small subunit ribosomal RNA", at positions 356 to 774 of the family's 1533-position model. Lineage: Bacteria; Pseudomonadati; Pseudomonadota. The record is from RNAcentral.